This 342-nucleotide RNase P RNA is filed under the name Patescibacteria group bacterium. Its description in RNAcentral is "RNase P RNA component class A". It matches the Rfam family "Bacterial RNase P class A". From Rfam's summary of the family: Ribonuclease P (RNase P) is a ubiquitous endoribonuclease, found in archaea, bacteria and eukarya as well as chloroplasts and mitochondria. Its best characterised activity is the generation of mature 5'-ends of tRNAs by cleaving the 5'-leader elements of precursor-tRNAs. Cellular RNase Ps are ribonucleoproteins. The record is from RNAcentral.
AGCAACUUUUGGAUAGUACUCUGAUAGAUAUCGGAGAGGAAAGUCCCAACGUCAAAAAAACACUACCUUGUAACGCAAGUUGAACUCCAUGGAGAAUGGAUAAAAGAAAGUGCCACAGAGACAAUACUACUCAAUCAUGAGGAAAGGUGAAAAGCACAAGAUGGUAACUUUCUCGAAAGAUAUCUACUUGUAUCUGAGUUUGUCUGAUGGGCAAGCCAGUGGUAAACCUUAGUGGACGCAAGCUUUUUCAGCCAUGUUGCUGGAAGGUGCUAGAUUCUUGAUCACUCAAGACCAGACAAAUGCUAUCAAAAACAGAAUUGGGCUUACGGAAAGUUGCUUCCC